UACGUAGGGGGCAAGCGUUGUCCGGAUUCAUUGGGCGUAAAGAGCGUGUAGGCGGCCAGGUAGGUCGGUUGUGAAAACUGGAGGCUCAACCUUCAGAGGUCGACCGAAACCAUCUGGCUAGAGUCCGGGAGAGGAGAGUGGAAUUCCUGGUGUAGCGGUGAAAUGCGCAGAUAUCAGGAAGAACACCCGUGGCGAAAGCGGCUCUCUGGAACGGUACUGACGCUGAGACGCGAAAGCGUGGGGAGCGAACAGG
This 253-nucleotide ribosomal RNA is filed under the name uncultured bacterium. Its description in RNAcentral is "partial 16S ribosomal RNA". It matches the Rfam family "Bacterial small subunit ribosomal RNA", at positions 524 to 776 of the family's 1533-position model. RNAcentral also lists the same sequence under 2 other names. The record is from RNAcentral.